RNAcentral lists this ribosomal RNA (439 nucleotides) under uncultured bacterium. RNAcentral's name for it is "partial 16S ribosomal RNA". It matches the Rfam family "Bacterial small subunit ribosomal RNA", at positions 339 to 795 of the family's 1533-position model. The record is from RNAcentral.
CUACGGGCUGCACCAGUGGGGAAUAUUGGACAAUGGGCGCAAGCCUGAUCCAGCAAUGCCGCGUGAGUGAAGACGGCCUUAGGGUUGUAAAACUCUUUCGCUAGGGAAGAUAAUGACUGUACCUAGUAAAGAAGUCCCGGCUAACUCCGUGCCAGCAGCCGCGGUAAUACGGAGGGGACUAGCGUUGUUCGGAAUUACUGGGCGUAAAGAGUUCGUAGGCGGACUGACAAGUUAGAGGUGAAAUCUCAGGGCUCAACCCUGGAACUGCCUUUAAAACUGUCAGUCUAGAGACCGGAAGAGGUUAGGGGAAUACCUAGUGUAGAGGUGAAAUUCGUAGAUAUUAGGUGGAACACCAGUGGCGAAGGCGCCUAACUGGUCCGGUACUGACGCUGAGGAACGAAAGCGUGGGGAGCAAACAGGAUUAGAUACCCGGGUAGUC